UUUUGCACCACAUGAUAUUUAUCGAUGACGAUACAGGCCUCUGGGAAUAUAGAUUUAACAGCUUUUUGGAAGGGAUCCCACAUAUCCAUAACAACGGUAUGAACACAUUUAUUAGACAGAAUCUUCUUGGUAAGUAAGAUCUGAGUUGAAUUAUAACUCCGUUGAUGUUCCAUACCAAGCACACUCCCGGAUUGGGUAUCCAAAAGAACUGUUUCAUAUCGGUGACCCUUUCGGACAGCGAUCUCAUCAAGGCUAAGGAUUAAUUCAUUGUCUUCUAAAACACUUUCAAGAGUUUCUAAAUGCUCCUUCUCUUUUUCUUUAGCACGGAACUGUUGUAUAAGGUAUUUUUUCCUUUCGACUCACUUCUUGGAUAGUGGAGCCAAUGCACAUUUCGUACAGAUAUUCUCUGUACCGAUUGGUCUGAUGCUUAUUAGGACUGAUAGAUUCAAAUGUUUGUGAAAAUACCUCAUUACAGUUGUGACAACGGUAUCUAUUCACUCUGACAAAUAAGAAAAGGGGCUUACCUAAUACGGACAAGUCACGAACUUUUCUUGUCCGCCAGUCAUGGACAUGACUAGAAAAAAACCGCAGUAAGAACAACGUUCUUCUGUAGUAU
RNAcentral lists this non-coding RNA (616 nucleotides) under Bacillus methanolicus MGA3. The record is from RNAcentral. Lineage: Bacteria; Bacillati; Bacillota; Bacilli; Caryophanales; Bacillaceae.